This 2501-nucleotide long non-coding RNA is filed under the name Cricetulus griseus (Chinese hamster). RNAcentral's name for it is "lncRNA (ENSCGRG00015041642.1)". The record is from RNAcentral. Lineage: Eukaryota; Metazoa; Chordata; Mammalia; Rodentia; Cricetidae.
AAACAAUUGUCUCCCACUGCAUGGAAACUGCUUUCAGUGAGUCACAUCCUGACUACGUGCUGGUCCUGAUGCUGCUCCUGCCGUGCAAGCACUGCUAUCUCGCUUAUGUGGCCUAUGGCCUUUUAUGCUGACCAGGUGGUGUUACUCACUUGUAACACCAGGAAGGGCCACGCACCUGGCUUCAGCUCCAGAGGUCUGGGCAUUGAAAGCUGAGCAGCUCAGAGAACUGCUCAGAACUCCAAAGAAAGUGUGGAUGGCACUAGGUAUGAUGAUGCCGCCCUUAAUCCCAGUACUCAGGAGACACAGGUAAGCAGAUCUCUGUGAGUUCAAAGCCAGCUUGGUCUACACAGUGAGUUCCAGGAGAGCAAGGGCCACAUAGAGAUGCCCCGUCAACAAACAAACAAACAAACAAACAAACAAAAAACCCACAAAGAAUAAAAAGUAAAUAAAUCCGAAUGGAUCCAUGGAAGCACUGUGAUUUGGAGGGAGAGAAAGGAGAGACAGUGUCAUAGCUCAAACUGGCCUGGAACUCACUAUGUAGCCCCAGUAGCCUGGCACUCAAGGCAAUCCUCCUGCUUCAGCUUCCUGAAUGCUGGGAUUACAGACGUGAACCACCAUGCCCGGCUUACAUUAUCCUUCAGUGUGACUGGUAGAAGUUCCUCUAGGACAGGGUUAAGGUACCACAGAAUGGACACCAGCAUUGGAUGGACAUUUGUGCUGUUUCCCUCUGCUGCAUCACGGACACCAGAGACUCUUUGCUGUUUGUUUUUCGAGGCAGGAUCUCACGGUGUACCCAAGACUGGCUUCAAACUUUCCAACCUCCUGCCUCCGUCUCCAGACUACUGAGAUUACAGGUCUGAGUGGAAUGCCCAGGACCCACACGAUGGAAGAGAGAACAAUCCCCUGUAAGUUGUCCUUUGACCUCCACUUACUCAGUGGUGAGUGCCCCUACCCCACAUAAAUUAAUGAAGAUUUUAGAAAGGGAAACAGGGCAGAAUGUAAGACCAAGUAAGUCCUUGCAUGUCCAGAUAUGUCCACUAGGUGGAACCAAAGCUAACAAGAUCGCCUUCCCCGGCGGCCUCCCAAGAAGAGCGAACAGGUCUGACCCCUGGGCUCCUGAAGACCGGGAUGUUCUCUCCGAAACCUGGCUGAGCCGCAUACAAUUAAUUCUGAGAGGUUGAGACUUGGGGAGUAUGGCGGCUGCAGAUGGUCACACUGGCUGUGUCCCGGCCAGAAACGGGGCUGGAAUGCAGGUUGUGGCACAGACUGCAACAGCCCAGGAGAGCUACAGCGUCUUUCAAAUCUGCACAGGUUCAGAGAGAGCUCCACAGAGGAGGGGCAGGAAUAUGGGCGCCACUGUUGACCUCUGCAGAGGAGCCAGCAGCAGCCGCAGAAAAGAAAACGCAGGACCAGCUGGAAGACCUGCCAUGUCGGGCAUGCAGGCUCAAGGAUGACUCUACAGGCCGGGCAGUCCUCCACAGACCCUGGAAUCUGCUUCCUCCCCUUGGACCUGGGAGUUCGUGACUCAGCUGUUUCCUGAUGGCAGUGACCCGCGUCUGAAGUCCAUCGACCUGGGAGCACCUGUGCAACUAUCAAUAGCCAGAGACACCCAAGGUUUGCGUGAGGGGCUCGGAACAGGAAGCAGGACAUGGGACUGAGCCGGCCGUGCUGGCCUUGAGCCAUGGAGCUUACAAAGCAGAGCAGGGAUGAGCUCUCCCAGGCCAUGCUGCUGCCGCAGAUUCAUGAGUGAAUCUCGUUAAGAUACUAUUUUUAUUUCUCAUUUUUCAGGUGGAAAUUGUUUCACAACACCUGCACUGAUUAAUUCUUGUUAAUUUGACAAACUACAGUCACGGGGAAGAGGGAACCUCAACUGAGGAGCUGCCUGACAGACUGACCUGUGGGCGUGUCUUGAUUGAAGAUGGAUGUGGACUGUGGCACCACUCGCAGAUGGCCCUGGGUUGUAUAAGCGAGCAAGCUGAGCAAGUUAUGGAGAGCAAGCCAGUAGGCAGUGGUUCCUCUACUGUUCCUGCUUAAGAUUCCUGCCUCGCUUCCCUUGCUCAUGGACUGUGAUGUGGACAUGUAAGCCAACAAACCUUCUCUAAGUCGCUUUUGCUUAUGGUGUUUGUCAUAGCAACAAAGAGCAAACUAGACCGGAACCCAAUAAAACACAAGACCCAAAGUUCCUGGUGGCAAGCCAUUUCUGUUUGCUUGGCACUAGAAGGUUUCCGGGACUCCAGACUUCAGAGGGGAGUGGUGGUACACACCUGUAAUGCAAUCACCGCUCUCCGGAGGGCGAGGCAGGAGCUACAGAGCAAGACCUUUUCGGCUCCCCCCGCCCGAAAGACUUUCAGUGCCUCCAGUGACAGAAUGCUAGACCAGCUGCACCAGGCAGUACCAACAAAGAGGGCUCUCAAGUUCAAGGGUGCACCAGAGACGCCUGGGGGCUUUCAACACUGCAGGCAGUGGUCCCACCCCAGAGUUUCUGGUUAGGUAAGGGCGGG